Gadus morhua (Atlantic cod) is the source of this 2895-nucleotide long non-coding RNA. NCBI's taxonomy places the organism in Eukaryota, Metazoa, Chordata, Actinopteri, Gadiformes, Gadidae. The record is from Ensembl.
CUGGACGCUGGCUGCAGUCCGGGCUCACUGGCUCUUCAACGCUUGCGUCGGGUUUGGUUUCUGAUUUUGUUUAUUGAGGAGGAAAACCGUCUCCCUUCUGUCGCCCGUGUGUAGAGUCUACCCUGUGGUCAUGAAGCAGUAAACACUGGAAACAUGACAUUCAAAGUACGCCUUUAUUUGUUUUUCAUUCCUCUUCUUUUCGUUGACUAAUCAUUCACUGCAAGAUGCAGGAAGAAUACUUGCCGUCUGUUUCUCUCUGUCUCCCACUCUAUCAUAUCAUAUUCUCUGUCUUUCUCCCACUCCUUCCCUCCCUGCCUCCCUCUCACUCUUCCACUCCGCUUUCAGAACCAGAACUUACAACCUCCAUUAUUAAUGGCUUCUAUCCCCCCCCUCUUCCCCGCUCUGUUUUUUCCUCUCCUUCCAGGCAGAUCAUCUCCCAGGACCUCCGACGAGCGGCGCGGUGAACCAGAAGCCCCGAAGCCUCCAUGAUGUCCCGGAGUCGAUCGAGCGGGGGCGGCUCCUCCAGCCUCCCCCAGUCCUCCAGCCUCCCCCUCCCCACCAGCUCCGUCUCCCCCAAGAUAGACGCCGUCCGGCAGCAGCAGCAGCAGCAGUACACCCCCCUGCCUGCCCACCUGGCCGCUCAGCUCCAGCGCGCCCGGAGCCGCUCGUUCUACGGCUCGUCUCCGUCGUCGGCGUCGACCACGCCCUCGGCGGUGGACGUUCUCCAGAGAGCCGCUCUGAAGAACCAGCUCCUGCAGGAGCAGCAGCAGCAGCAGCAGCAGCAGCAGCAGCAGCACAAGGGCCUCCCCGCUGCUGCCGGGAAGGCUGGUGGACGUGGUGGUGGAGGUGGUGGGGAUGGUGGUGGGGCCGGGCGGCCUCAGAGAGCCAUAGGGACGCGUUCGGCCUACAGCAGCCCCCAGGUACCCAAGAGGGAGGUACCGCGCACCAAGGACACCUUGGACCUCCGCGGGGGGUCCCUCCCCCAGAAGAGCCUGCGGGGAGAGGACCACCAGACCAGGAGGAACACCAACCAGAACUGGACCUUCGGGAAGUACCGGCUCCGGAGCGUGGACAACGCGGACAGCGCGGACCCGUCGGCGGCGUCCCGCGGCGUCCUGGCCCACUCGCCGCCGCCGCCGCCGCCGCCGCCCCAGUGCCGGGCCGGGAACGGGAACGAGGCGCCCCCAGGGGGGAGGAGACACAGCCACAAGGAGAGCGGGAACCUGCUGGCCAACCAGACGGGGGCCGUCAACAUGGCCGCUGUCGCCCCCUUCAGGUUCAGCAGGCUCCAGGUGACUGAGGAGACCGACCCCUCUGUGGAUGACCUGAGUGACUGCUCCUCAGACUCCAUGGAGGUCUGCUGUGAGGACCUGGGUGAGAACCACACCACGCCAACAUCUGGAGCUGGUCCACCUACGAUCAAUAUACACUGAUACAUCUAGUACCAAUAUAGAACCACACAAUACAUCUAGUACCAAUAUAGAACCACACAAUACAUCUAGUACCAAAAAUGAACCACAUCUAACACCAAUAUAGAACAACACUUAUACAUCUAGUACCAAUAUAGAACCACACCAAUGCAUCUAGUAACAAUAUAGCACCACACUCAUACAUCUAAAACCAAUAUAUGUAUGUAUCUAUAUAUAUAUAUAGAUACAUAUAUAUAUACAAUACAUCUAGUAACAUUAUAUUACAAGACAAUUAAUCUAGUAACAAUAUAUAACACAAAAUAAAUCUCUACAUCUCUUACAAAAUACAUAUUGUACCUAUAUAUAUAUAUAUAUAUAUAUAUAUAUAUAUAUAUAUAUAUAUAUAUAUAUAUACACAAUACAUCUAGUAACACUUUUGAACAGUUUAUUAUUACCAAUGUAUAGUGUAUAAAUAUUUUCUAUCAGAAACACCUUUGUCUAGCAUGAGGCUGUAGUGGUAGAUAUAGUCUUAGCUAUAUGGGUUAGCUAUGGCUAGUCGCUGAUGAAGCCAGCUUUCAGGGCAGCUGUCAGGUCCAUCAGACCUCAAUAGCCGUUUGUGGAGACGUGUAUUCCACUGUUCUGUACCAUAAUCCAAAGCAUAUGUGGGAAAAUAUUUGUUCUUGGCAGUCAUCGACACACACACACAAGCACACACACACACACACAAGCACACACAGACACACACAAACUCACGCGCACACACACACACACACACACACACACACACACACACACACACACACACACACACACACACACACACACAUACAUACACACACAAGCACACACACACAGGCACAUACACGUGCAAGAGCACGCGAACACAUACACUCUUGCAUGCACAUGCACACACAUACACACGCAAAGACAAACACACACACACAAUGCUUCCCUCAUUCCGUACGUGAUAAAUAUCCACUCUGCGGCUCUCUGCAUUAAAAUAGUUGUAACACUAAAAAUCCCCCUUAUAAAUCACUCUAGGCUAUGAGCAGGACUCCAGCUAUUACAUCGUACCUGUCAGGCAGUGUAGCAUGUUGACAGCAUGGUGCCAAGAACCGGUGGACUGAAUGUAAAUCUUCCUGCGUAGUGGCUAGCCAUCGGAGGCCAGACACCGAGAUGUGUUGCAGUAUAUUUAGUGUUAAGAUGUCUUACUAAUGGGUUAGGGUAGUGUAGUGUAGAGGGAGUUCAGCUCACUUCUGAUGAAACGCACCGUGUGCUCCAUGAACAACACCCUUCCCAGAAAGAGAAUGAUUAAGUAUGUUUAUAUGUUGUGUGCGUAUCCAGAGUAUGUGUCUAUACACGCCGUCCAGUAGAUUUACAUAACGACUGACACAUAAAGGUAGGAGGCUUGUAUGAGAUGCCCUUAAUGUUCAUCUGGGAUGGUAGAUUAAUGAUUAAAGUUAAUGUUUAAGUAUGUUUAUGUUAC